RNAcentral lists this ribosomal RNA (609 nucleotides) under uncultured bacterium. RNAcentral's name for it is "bacterial SSU rRNA". It matches the Rfam family "Bacterial small subunit ribosomal RNA", at positions 338 to 961 of the family's 1533-position model. The record is from RNAcentral.
CCUACGGGAGGCAGCAGUAAGGAAUAUUGGACAAUGGGCGAGAGCCUGAUCCAGCCAUGCCGCGUGCAGGAAGAAGGACCUAUGGUUUGUAAACUGCUUUUGAAUGGGAGAAAACCUGGGUACGUGUACCCAGCUGAUAGUACCAUUAGAAUAAGCAUCGGCUAACUUCGUGCCAGCAGCCGCGGUAAGACGAAGGAUGCAAGCGUUAUCCGGAUUCAUUGGGUUUAAAGGGAGCGUAGGCGGAUAGAUAAGUCAGUGGUGAAAUCUCUGGGCUUAACCCAGAAACUGCCAUUGAUACUGUUUAUCUAGAGUACAUUUGCUGUGGGCGGAAUAUGACAUGUAGUGGUGAAAUACUUAGAUAUGUCAUAGAACACCGAUUGCGAAGGCAGCUCACAAAAAUGUAACUGACGCUGAGGCUCGAAAGUGCGGGGAUCAAACAGGAUUAGAUACCCUGGUAGUCCGCACUGUAAACGAUGAUUACUCGCUGCUUGGAGGCAACUCUGAGUGGCUUAGCGAAAGCGAUAAGUUAAUUCCACUUGGGGAGUACGCGGCACGGUGAACUUCGAAGGAUUGACGGCNGAGACGNGCGAGGACGACGACGAGGAGAGG